Molecule: ribosomal RNA, 441 nt
Filed under: Streptococcus thermophilus MTCC 5461
Lineage: Bacteria; Bacillati; Bacillota; Bacilli; Lactobacillales; Streptococcaceae
Description: bacterial LSU rRNA
Rfam family: Bacterial large subunit ribosomal RNA
Source: RNAcentral
UCUCCCCCAAGAGUCCACAUCGACGGGGAGGUUUGGCACCUCGAUUGUCGGCUCAUCGCAUCCUGGGCUGUAGUCGGUCCCAAGGGUUGGGCUGUUCGCCCAUUAAAGCGGUACGCGAGCUGGGUUCAGAACGUCGUGAGACAGUUCGGUCCCUAUCCGUCGCGGGCGUAGGAAAUUUGAGAGGAGCUGUCCUUAGUACGAGAGGACCGGGAUGGACAUACCGCUGGUGUACCAGUUGUGCCGCCAGGCGCAUCGCUGGGUAGCUAUGUAUGGAUGAGAUAAACGCUGAAAGCAUCUAAGUGUGAAACUCGCCUCAAGAUGAGAUUUCCCAUUCCUAUAUGGAAGUAAGACCCCUCAGAGAUGAUCAGGUUGAUAGGUUAGAAGUGGAAGUGUGGUGACACAUGUAGCGGACUAAUACUAAUAGCUCGAGGACUUAUCCAA